This 206-nucleotide long non-coding RNA is filed under the name Gossypium raimondii (Peruvian cotton). Its description in RNAcentral is "long non-coding RNA (GRAI_LNC010695)". Lineage: Eukaryota; Viridiplantae; Streptophyta; Magnoliopsida; Malvales; Malvaceae. The record is from RNAcentral.
AAAACUGGAAUUGAAUGGCAGGAUUGCGGUAGAAUUUCAAACGACAAAAAAACAAAAAGAUUUUUGCCAGUCAACAAUAAAAGAACGUCAAAAUUUUGGGAAUUGGAAGAGAGAGAAAAAUAAUAAAAAAAUAAAAUAAACACAAAAUUAACAAAUCAGAAUUCCAACUCCACCGAAACUCUCUCAUGCAACUGAGCAAAAAUAAC